CGCGGCCUAUCAGCUUGUUGGUGGGGUAAUGGCCUACCAAGGCGGCGACGGGUAGCCGGCCUGAGAGGGUGUACGGCCACAUUGGGACUGAGAUACGGCCCAGACUCCUACGGGAGGCAGCAGUGGGGAAUAUUGCACAAUGGGCGCAUGCCUGAUGCAGCGACGCCGCGUGGGGGAUGAAGGCCUUCGGGUUGUAAACUCCUUUCGCUAGGGACGAAGCUUUUUGUGACGGUACCUAGAUAAGAAGCACCGGCUAACUACGUGCCAGCAGCCGCGGUAAUACGUAGGGUGCGAGCGUUGUCCGGAAUUACUGGGCGUAAAGGGCUCGUAGGUGGUUUGUCGCGUCGUCUGUGAAAUUCUGGGGCUUAACUCCGGGCGUGCAGGCGAUACGGGCAUAACUUGAGUGCUGUAGGGGUAACUGGAAUUCCUGGUGUAGCGGUGAAAUGCGCAGAUAUCAGGAGGAACACCGAUGGCGAAGGCAGGUUACUGGGCAGUUACUGACGCUGAGGAGCGAAAGCAUGGGUAGCGAACAGGAUUAGAUACCCUGGUAGUCCAUGCCGUAAACGGUGGGCGCUAGGUGUGAGGGUCUUUCUACGACUUUCGUGCCGUAGCUAACGCAUUAAGCGCCCCGCCUGGGGAGUACGG
This 645-nucleotide ribosomal RNA is filed under the name uncultured Actinomycetes bacterium. RNAcentral describes it as "bacterial SSU rRNA". It matches the Rfam family "Bacterial small subunit ribosomal RNA", at positions 232 to 885 of the family's 1533-position model. The record is from RNAcentral. Lineage: Bacteria; Bacillati; Actinomycetota; Actinomycetes.